RNAcentral lists this ribosomal RNA (702 nucleotides) under uncultured bacterium. Its description in RNAcentral is "bacterial SSU rRNA". It matches the Rfam family "Bacterial small subunit ribosomal RNA", at positions 1 to 748 of the family's 1533-position model. The record is from RNAcentral.
UCGAUUAGAGUUUGAUCAUGGCUCANNACGAACGCUGGCGGCAGGCCUCAAACAUGCAAGUCUAGGGGACGUAGCAAUACGUCACCGGCGGACGGGUGCGUAACACGUGGGAAUAUACCUUUCGGUUCGGAACAACGCAGGGAAACUUGCGCUAAUACCGAAUACGUCCUUACGGAGAAAGAUUUAUCGCCGAAGGAUUAGCCCGCGUUCGAUUAGCUAGUUGGUGAGGUAAUGGCUCACCAAGGCAACGAUCGAUAGCUGUUCUGAGGGGAAGAUCAGCCACACUGGGACUGAGACACGGCCCAGACUCCUACGGGAGGCAGCAGUUGGGAAUAUUGGACAAUGGGGGCAACCCUGAUCCAGCAAUGCCGCGUGGAUGAAGAAGGUUUUCGGAUUGUAAAGUCCUUUCGGCGGGGACGAUGAUGACGGUACCCGCAGAAGAAGCCCCGGCUAACUUCGUGCCAGCAGCCGCGGUAAUACGAAGGGGGCUAGCGUUGCUCGGAAUGACUGGGCGUAAAGGGCGCGUAGGCGGCGUGCACAGUCAGGCGUGAAAUUCCUGGGCUUAACCUGGGGGCUGCGCUUGAUACAUGCAUGCUCGAGUGUGGAAGNNNGUCGUGGAAUUCCCAGUGUAGAGGUGAAAUUCGUAGAUAUUGGGAAGAACACCGGUGGCGNNNNCGGCGACCUGGUCCAUAACUGACGCUG